Molecule: ribosomal RNA, 253 nt
Filed under: uncultured bacterium
Lineage: Bacteria
Description: partial 16S ribosomal RNA
Rfam family: Bacterial small subunit ribosomal RNA
Source: RNAcentral
UACGGGGGGGGCAAGCGUUGUUCGGAAUUACUGGGCGUAAAGGGCUCGUAGGUGGCCAACUAAGUCAGACGUGAAAUCCCUCGGCUUAACCGGGGAACUGCGUCUGAUACUGGAUGGCUUGAGGUUGGGAGAGGGAUGCGGAAUUCCAGGUGUAGCGGUGAAAUGCGUAGAUAUCAGGAGGAACACCAAUGGCGAAGGCAGCACUCUGGGACGUGACUGACGCUGAGACGCGAAAGCGUGGGGAGCAAACAGG